AUUGUUGAAAAAAAUAAAGAUGUCGUUUAUAACCACAUUUUUACAAAUAUCACACAUAAUCAGCUAAUAUGAUAGGCGCGAUCCUCAAAGUAGAAAACAAGCCAAGUGAACAGGGCUAUAACCGCGAAAAUCGAAGUUCGUCAAUUGCGGGCAUUUUUCUCUGUCGCUCUAAUUACGUCUUAGUGAGAGUAAAAGAGAAAGAUCCCCUCAAUUUACGAAUUUCGGUUUUUGCGGUAGGCCCCCAGGCCUGCCGGACAAAAAGCCGGGCGAAGAAAAAGUAAAAACUAUUACAAAAACUUAUAUCAUAUCGACGUAUUGAAGUCUCUCCUGACCUGUUCAGUAGCUGGAAUGUUGAAGAAAUAAGAAUGUAACUUUGAAUCCCAUUAUGUAAGUGAACGGGGUUAAGCACUGCCACGGCAGCUCCCGUAAGCUCGCACCUUGCGUACUUUUCACAUCAUGUUUCACAAAACUACGGCUUAAUACCCUAAUAUAU
Cydia pomonella (codling moth) is the source of this 493-nucleotide long non-coding RNA. RefSeq lists it as uncharacterized. NCBI's taxonomy places the organism in Eukaryota, Metazoa, Arthropoda, Insecta, Lepidoptera, Tortricidae. The transcript is spliced from 2 exons. The record is from RefSeq and is a predicted model, not a curated record.